ACUCAAAGGAAUUGACGGGGGCCCGCACAAGCGGCGGAGCAUGCGGAUUAAUUCGAUGCAACGCGAAGAACCUUACCUGGGUUUGACAUGCGCCGGAAAGCUCUAGAGAUAGAGCCCCUUUUAGUCGGUGUACAGGUGGUGCAUGGCUGUCGUCAGCUCGUGUCGUGAGAUGUUGGGUUAAGUCCCGCAACGAGCGCAACCCUCGUUCCAUGUUGCCAGCAGCAUUCCCUGCCCUUUGGGUGAUGGGGUGGCUGGGGACUCAUGGGAGACUGCCGGGGUCAACUCGGAGGAAGGUGGGGAUGACGUCAAGUCAUCAUGCCCCUUAUGUCCAGGGCUUCACGCAUGCUACAAUGGCCGGUACAAAGGGCUGCGAUCCCGUGAGGGGGAGCGAAUCCCAAAAAGCCGGUCUCAGUUCGGAUUGGGGUCUGCAACUCGACCCCAUGAAGUCGGAGUCGCUAGUAAUCGCAGAUCAGCAACGCUGCGGUGAAUACGUUCCCGGGCCUUGCACACACCGCCCGU
This 519-nucleotide ribosomal RNA is filed under the name uncultured bacterium. RNAcentral's name for it is "partial 16S ribosomal RNA". It matches the Rfam family "Bacterial small subunit ribosomal RNA", at positions 899 to 1397 of the family's 1533-position model. The record is from RNAcentral.